This 199-nucleotide long non-coding RNA is filed under the name Elaeis guineensis (African oil palm). RNAcentral describes it as "long non-coding RNA (EGUI_LNC032715)". Lineage: Eukaryota; Viridiplantae; Streptophyta; Magnoliopsida; Arecales; Arecaceae. The record is from RNAcentral.
GACUGCAAACUCUUAGAAUAUUCAUAGCUAUUUUAUCUUUACUUGUUCUGUAUCUCGACUUGUUAAUGUCAAGGACAGUGCAUCUAAUGUAUAUCUUAUUUUAGGCAUCUAGAUAAUUCUACAAUAAAAUAAAUAUAUUAUUAUUAUAUUAUUAUUAUAAAGUAUUUUUUAAAUAAUUUAAAAUUAAUAUAACAUUUAU